AUUCCGGUUGAUCCUGCCGGAGGCCAUUGCUAUCGGAGUCCGAUUUAGCCAUGCUAGUCGUGCGAGUUCAGACUCGCGGCACCGAGCUCAGUAACACGUGGCCAAACUACCCUACAGAGACGGAUACCCUCGGGAAACUGAGGUUAACCCGUCAUACCGAUCUCAGGCUUGAAUCGCAGAGAUCACAAAACGCCCCGGCGCUGUAGGAUGUGGCUGCGGUUGAUUAGGUAGACGGUGGGGUAACGGCCCACCGUGCCCAUAAUCAGUACAGGUUGUGAGAGCAAGAACCUGGAGACGGAAUCUGAGACAAGAUUCCGGGCCCUACGGGGCGCAGCAGGCGCGAAACCUUUACACUGCACGCACGUGCGAUAAGGGGACUCCGAGUGCGAGGGCAUAUCGUCCUCGCUUUCGUGUACCGUAGGGUGGUACACCAACAAGGGCUGGGCAAGACCGGUGCCAGCCGCCGCGGUAAUACCGGCAGCCCGAGUGAUGGCCGAUCUUAUUGGGCCUAAAGCGUCCGUAGCU
This 525-nucleotide ribosomal RNA is filed under the name uncultured haloarchaeon. RNAcentral's name for it is "bacterial SSU rRNA". It matches the Rfam family "Archaeal small subunit ribosomal RNA", at positions 1 to 526 of the family's 1478-position model. The record is from RNAcentral. Lineage: Archaea; Methanobacteriati; Methanobacteriota; Halobacteria; Halobacteriales; Halobacteriaceae. RNAcentral also lists the same sequence under 2 other names.